CAGGAGGCUAUCUCGACGGAGAGAAAAGCGGCAACGCCUUACCGCCUGCCUCAAUCCCUUUCAGUAAGG
This is a non-coding RNA of Erwinia tracheiphila, 69 nucleotides long. The record is from Rfam. Lineage: Bacteria; Pseudomonadati; Pseudomonadota; Gammaproteobacteria; Enterobacterales; Erwiniaceae.